RNAcentral lists this unclassified non-coding RNA (147 nucleotides) under soil metagenome. Its description in RNAcentral is "partial internal transcribed spacer 1". The record is from RNAcentral.
UAAUAAGUGUUUUUAUGGCACUUUUUAAAUCCAUAUCCACCUUGUGUGCAAUGUCAGUCGAUCUUCUUCAUGGAGAUCGACCAAACAUCAACCUUUAUCUUUUAACUCUUUGUCUGAAAAAAUAUUAUGAAUAAACAAUUCAAAAUA